Molecule: small RNA, 578 nt
Filed under: Pongo abelii (Sumatran orangutan)
Lineage: Eukaryota; Metazoa; Chordata; Mammalia; Primates; Hominidae
Description: retained intron
Source: RNAcentral
AGAGAUGCCGCUGAAACCAAACUUUUGUCCUUGCCAAGAGUUUUGUCUCCACAGAAGAGAGCCUUGGGAAGGAGUUCUUCAGAUGUUUCUUUGGACUUCCCUUGUCUCCCUCUAGCACCAUGCUCAGGCUCUCACUACAGCUGACAUGGUGUCUUACACCCUCACAGGUUGUAGGUGACGUGGACACCAGCCUCCCACGGACCCUAGACGAGCUUGGCAUCCACCUGACGAAGGAAGAGCUGAAGCUGAACAUCCGCCCCUUGCUCAGGCUGGUCUGCAAAAAGUUCUUUGGCGAGUUCACAGGCUUUGUGGACAUGUGUGUGCAGCAUAUCCCUUCUCCAAAGGUGGGCGCCAAGCCCAAGAUUGAGCACACCUACACUGGCGGUGUGGACUCCGACCUCGGCGAGGCUAUGAGUGACUGUGACCCUGAUGGCCCCCUGAUGUGCCACACUACUAAGAUGUACAGCACAGAUGAUGGAGUCCAGUUUCACGCCUUUGGCCGGGUGCUGAGUGGCACCAUUCAUGCUGGGCAGCCUGUGAAGGUACUGGGGGAGAACUACACCCUGGAGGAUGAGGAA